This 261-nucleotide ribosomal RNA is filed under the name uncultured archaeon. RNAcentral describes it as "partial 16S ribosomal RNA". It matches the Rfam family "Archaeal small subunit ribosomal RNA", at positions 748 to 1008 of the family's 1478-position model. The record is from RNAcentral.
AGGGUGUAAACGCUGCAGACUUGGUGUCGGUGGCCCUUUGGGGGCAUUCAGUGCCGGAGAGAAGUUGUUAAGUCUGCUACUUGGGGAGUACGUCCGCAAGGAUGAAACUUAAAGGAAUUGGCGGGGGAGCACCGCAACGGGAGGAGCGUGCGGUUUAAUUGGAUUCAACACCGUAAAACUCACCAGGGAAGACUGUUACAUGAAGGCCGAGAUGAAGACUCUGCUAGAUUUUCAGAGAGGUGGUGCAUGGCGUCAGUGACU